Molecule: long non-coding RNA, 242 nt
Filed under: Lathyrus oleraceus (garden pea)
Lineage: Eukaryota; Viridiplantae; Streptophyta; Magnoliopsida; Fabales; Fabaceae
Description: Pisum sativum (pea) long non-coding RNA (PSAT_LNC020600)
Source: RNAcentral
CAUGCUUAUUAUAGGGUUAACCCCUCACUAGCAUGUUGAAGCUAUCCUCACAUGGCGGAUUUGUGGUUUUAGGUUGAGUUUUCUCCCUUGGAUAACAAAAGACCUUAAGGCUUUUGGACUUCUUCCAUGCUUAUUAUAGGGUUAACCCCUCACUAGCAUGUUGAAGCUAUCCUCACAUGGCGGAUUUGUGGUUUUAGGUUGAGUUUUCUCCCUUGGAUAACAAAAGACCUUAAGGCUUUUGG